UGCACUUGGCAGUCGCCGUCAUUCGUCCCUAUCGUCCCUAGGUACACGCACGACUCAAGCAGCAGUCGUGAGACGCCGCCCUCCAUCCAUCGCCCCAGAUCCACCCCUUCGCCGCCGCCGCUUCAUCCAUUCGCCGCCGCCGUUCCAUCGCUCCACCGCGGAUCCAUCCCUUCAUCGUCGCCCCGCACAUCAAAGCCACCGCCCUCCAUCGGACCAUCCCCGUUUAGGACCCGCCGCGGAUCACGUCCAGGAUCCUGAAUUCUCGUUGGACCAAGGCGGCGUCCACCACGUCAUGGUGUUAUGCUAGCGGCGAUUGGGAGGCGAUCCGGGCUGCUAGGGUUUAACCAUGACCUGAUCAUGGUGGCGCCGGAGCAUGUGAGGUGAGCGCUGCCGGACUCGUCCGCCUCGCCAUCACUGAUGAUCGAGUCGGCUCUGGCCACGUCCCUCUCCGGAUGGCUGUGAUGAUGGAGGGAACCGCCAUCACUGCCAGGCUCUCCACCCAUGGACGCGUCGGGUCGCUGCUCGGGGCCAGCCCCCCGUUGUGCUAGAUCGCGCCUCGGCUUCAGCAGCCUGACCGUAGGGGCGAAGCAACAGCACACUCAUACAGCAGGGAUCAGGAAUUUGGUAUGCAUGAAGAUUUGACUGUGGUUGGAAGAAAUUGUUGAACAAUUCCAUGAACCACAUAUGAUGGCACCGCCGCGAGAUUCCCAAGGGCAGCAAGGUCAUGUAUGAGUUGGACAAGAAGACGAGGCUCAUCAAAGCCAACCGCGUCCUCCACUCCUCCACGGCCGGCCCACACAACUCAUCCUCUGUCUUCAGCAGUUGUGCAAGAGAGAUCGCGGUGACAAGUGAAAAACAAAGAUGAUUGUACAUCCUUGCUCCUUUUCUUCUUUCAGCAUUACACACGUAGCAACAUCAUUCUCGCCAUCCAUCCCACAAUGACAAGAGCCUUUCUAGAGCACAAACCAGGGCAAUAUCUUCCGCUUAGAUGUUCAUUUUCAUUUUAAUUCACAACUUUUCCAGAAGGAUCAACCUAAUCCGUGAUUUCUGUUUCUUUUUCAGAUCUGCUAUUCGGUAACAUGAUUUGGUGUGAUACUAGCUGACCAUUAAAAUCUGGUUUAGAUUUCAGUCCCAAUUUUUAUGAUAAAAUAAUAGUCAAUGUUCAGAUGCACUAUUGUGGUCUUUCAUCAAGUUGAAACCCAUUUUGAAGUUUCAAUAUCCCUUGAAUUCUUAAUGAGUGGAUGUUGAGGAGUAGUCAAUGUGUUCUGUUUCAUGUAGGUGGAUGCGGUUAUGGUUAUGGUGGCGUACAUCUGGGGCAUUUAACGGUUUAUGUGUGCAGAUACAAGAGGCAGAUUAAUGAUCAUGUUAAGGAGCAUGUUGAUGUUGCUGAGGUAUGCCCCCCACCUCUUGAGAAUAUUGAUGACACUAUGAUCUCUUGAUGCCAAUUUCUUCAGUUCGUCGAUCACAUAAUUUUUGGUGCAAAAUGCCUGAAGCUUAUGACAUGGGUGAAGGUGUUAAUCAAGAAUAGAGAUUCUCAGUAGCAAUGCAGCGAUACAGUUAUGUAUGUCCUUCUACAUGACAAUAUGAGACUCUAUGUAAUUUCCUCUGAACUUUUUUAAACAUAUUAUUUUUUUAAAUUUGCUAGACAAGCAGAGAUCCUAAGGCCAAAGAUAAAAUGAAUCCUUUUGCUGAACAGGAAGCAUGGGAAGAACAUCAAAUAUGUAAUGUUGUUUACUUGGAUUAACCACAUGCAAUCGGUAUUGCGACUGUCUUUAUGAUACCAUAUGUAUGCUCUUUGUUGUAUAUUUAGCAAUUGGUCGACUUGAUUCAGGAAAGUCAAAACUGGAAUUUGGAUCAGAAGAUAGAAAUCGGUCUUCUAAUGAAUGCCGGUUGUACAAGAGCAGCUCUGAUGCUCAGUGGAGGUCCUGAUGUAGUUGAUCUUGGAAGUUCUGAUGCUUGGUGGAGCCAUUCUUGCAGGCUGAAAUUCUGUAUUUUUCUGCAGGUUGUACAAGAGCAGCUCUAAUGCUCGGUGGAACCAUUCUUGGUUAUUAUCCUGUCAGAGUUCUGCCAUCUAAGACUCCAAUUUUUUUCCUUUUGACCCUAAGUUUCUUCCUUGAGUAAGUAAAAUUAGACUACACACGAGGGUGAGGAGACGAAGUUGGAAGGAGAGAGCACAUGGGCAAUUGAGGACUAAAGGAUAACACUUAAUCUUGCUUUUCUAUAUUCUUGGUUCCAAGUACAAAUUACAUUCAGUUCAGGUGCAAGUAGUCUUAUAGAUAGAUAGAGAGGUGGGUUCUGAUUUGUGGAUGAUUUUGAUAAUGGUAUGUUUUUCCAUGAUUGCUGUCAUUUUGUUGUCCUACAUGUGUCCGUGCGUUGGGAUAGUAUGAAGAAAAGUUGCAGCUAUCCAUACAUCAUUAUUUAUGGCAGAAGGGAAAUAUACUGAAUCAUAGUCACAUUUCCUAAAACUCUCGAAUUCCAACUUAGCGGUGUUGAUGACCAUGAUGAAACUGUGAAAUAUUAAGCGGUACUUUUCCAUUGAUUUUUUCAUUCUCAUCGUAUCAUUGAUGUGAUUGUGUGACUCAAGUUUUUAUUUCCCCCUCACCUUUUAAGUUCAAAGUAGUAUUCAGCAAGUUGUUGUGUCGAAUAUAAACCUUUGAAACACUUGCUACAUAAAGGUUCAGUUGUAUCAUCAAUAAUGCCAAUGCUUCUGGUUGCUGUUGCUGGCUCCUAACAGCAAAAUCAAGUCUGGAAACACGUAUGGUAAUGGUGUAACAAAAAAAAUCGAGAGAGGUUUUGAGUAUGCUUUGUUAGCUAUGACACUUUGAUUUAGCUUACUUUGCUAGGAUACCAGAACUAGCACUCUACGAGCGAAAUAAUUUAUUUAUUUUGCACCGUUGUCAAAUUAUUACUUUGUAUUCCUGAAAAUUUAAUAUAACUGAAUGUGGUGAAAUGCAGUGAAAAUAUUGUUGAUUUUGAUUUAAAAAUGGUUAAAUUGGAAGAAAGCAUUUCCGCUACAUUCAUCAGCAACACUGCACCAUAUACUAUAGAACCUUGGGCCACUAAAUCAGGUGUUUCCGAUGGAUCUUCUUGGACUCAACAGUAUCAAUCUACUUCCCACGCAUGUGGUUUAUUUUAUUCUUCAGCUUAAUGGAAAACCAUGGUAAGUUCAGUUUUACCUUUAGGGUGUUGUCAAAAUGAUUUCAAUGAGACCAAUUAAGUGACUAGCCUAUGGAAAAAUGAUGAUCUGUUGUUAAAAUAAAAUAAAAAUAGAUAAUUGAGUAAUAAAUUUUGUUUUUCUAAAGCAGCUAGCCUAGAAUGUUCAUUCGUGAAAGAUAAUACCGUUUGAAGAAAUCGUGGGAACGCGGUGCGGGAGCUGCUCCGUCCCGAGGGACGCACGGCGGUGAUCGGGCUAAACGCAGCGGACACAUCAUAGUGGGAGCCGGGGGAGUUGUUGUUGACCUGGUCUCGAGGCGGGCAGGUACAAGUGGAGCAGUGACCAUAUCAGCUUUGUGGCAGCGACCAGGCAACCAAGGAGGAGUGGAGUAGCACCUAGAAGCGGCGGCCAGAUAGAGAAGAUUCCUGUCGAUGGCAAUGAGCGAAGGCGAUCAGCACGACUCGGUUCUGGUGUGCUAUAUCAGUUUAAUUUGUUGGUGUGUUAUCGACCAUAGAUUUUGGCAAAAUAUUAUAUACUCAUCAUUGCUACCGUUUUGGUGCAAGAGGAGAUAGUUAUAGAUAUGUUUGGUGCCAUAUAUUUGCCAUUCUUGAUUUGUCUGCUGAUUAAUGAGAUGGUGUAGAAGGCAUAGAUGGCAAUUAUUGCAAUGAGGCUACAACAUUAAGACUAGACCAGGUUGUAGCAUUGAAUGAAUGAAGUUUGACAUGAGAGACUCUGUAGCAGUAUUUGGCACAAUAAAAUAUUUGCCCAAAUAAUCAACCCUCUGUGAGUAGAUGUACUUCAUUUUUUGGUUUUAUCAGCAACCUCUUUGUUUUAGUGUAUUUGUUAAUGAUUCCCUUUCUCGCAGGAUCAUUUUGUCAGUGCUACAUGUAAGAAGACAAUUGAGGAGUGUUCGACGGUGUUUUGUGCAUUGCUACAUAAAAUAAUAAUUUUAUUUUCAAUGAGUUUUAAUGCAGGUUAUCUAUGCAAAGGUAAGUGGUUAAUAAUACAAAGGCAAAAUGAUAUUGCAUGGCACAUGCCCGCACGUACUUAAACAGGCACAUGCAUGAAAUCAUGGUGUAACUACUACAUGUGCAUGCACACACAUGUCCUAGCAGUGGGCAUCUUUAGUCUAGACACGUAGCUUAGCUUAGACACAUAUAAAUAGUUAUGUAUUUGAAUACCGGCAAGCUCGCGUUACAUAUCCGAAUACCCGUUUGUAUGCAUACAAUGUAUUUGAGUAUCUACAGCCGGUGAGCGCGCACGCAUACUUCUCCGAAUACCCGAUAUACAUGUACUUCGUUUCCUUGUUUUGGUAUUUGGACAGGUACAUGAAAUAUGGGCGUGUCUUCGAUGGGUGCAAUCUAACACAUAGUACGUGACUGUUAUCAGAUGAUAGGGUCACGUGAGCAGCCUAUGUACGUAUAUUUGGCAAGCCAUCAAAAAUUGGAAACGGAUACAACCGACCACGGGACCACAUAAAAAAAGGUACGCGCCAACUAACAUGGUAUAUAUGGGGUUGAUCAUUUCCUUUUAUCUGUAUAGACUUGGACGUCAAGACAAACAAUAGAAGGAAAUAUUAGGAUGGUGCAACCCUACCCGUCCAACACCGCAGCCUAUAUAAGCUAGCCAACCAAGGCACCAGAAGAGAGGAGCUAGUUAGCAUAGCUGGUGCAACAACAAACGCAGCCGAGGAGAUGGCCCGGCCGUGACCGCGCGUUCGUAGGCACCAGAUGUGAUGAGCCCAGAAACGCCGGCCACAACGGCAGCCUGCCCACGGCGAGGAUGUAGGCGCCCGAGGAGAUGAUGAAACGGGAGCUGAUCAAGCCCCGUUGACUAACUUUAUUUGUUAUUGUGUAUUUCAUCUAUCAGGUGCCGCACAUCCAUCCAUCAAGCAGCAGCAAAGCUACGCACACGUCCCUGGCCAGAAACUCACGCACGCACCGGGCAGGGACGUGCCUGUUGGCGGCGUCAAACCCAAGUGCAAAGGAGGACGUGCUCACAGCGGCGUGGUGGCCGGUAGGCCACCGGCCACGGCGUGCUAGAGGAUGCGUAGAGGACGCCGCUGACAGCAGGUGCACUAUGACAUGGAGGUGAGCUUAGAUGCAUGCACGUGCAACAACCCUCUUGGUACGUACAGUCUUUUUCUUACCAGGUUCUAUGGAGGAGGAGGAGACACGCCCGUGGCGGCGUCGCCAAAUUGGAACUCAAUCACGAAGGAGAACGCGCCUGCGAUGGCCGCGUAGGCCCUGUCUUGUGGCGACGAGCAUGCCGCGGAGAUGACAAGGCGCACACAAGGAGGAGGCACAGGAGGAAGCAGAAGACGCGUCGUGGCGGCAACAUCGAGAACAUCAGGAAAGCCCCGCCCAUGGCGGCGGCACGCUCGUCGGGCAACAUGCACACGGCCUAGCGCUGUCCGGUGGCGGCAGUGCAUGCGCCAAGAAGGAUCCGCGGAGGCUAGAUACGUACAUCUAUAUCUUUUUUUGUAUGCAGGAGCCACAAACACAUCUCAACCCGAGGAGGUAGCAGCGAUAGAGAGCAUGUACCGGCUGGGUUGAAGUCGAGGUCGCCAUGUACCCAUGCGCCCACAUACAACGUUUCGACCAUAGACGACGCGCCCAUGGCAGUGGCGCGCUCACCAGGCAUCAAGCAUGCUUCUUGGCUCUGUCCAGUGGUGGUUGUAACGAGGCGGAGCAUGCGAGAAGGAAAACACGGAUGAACCCACGCGGCCGUAACAUCACCUCACGCAUCCAUCAGGCCGGCUGGUACAAGUGCAAGGAACCCCGGCGGCAGCAACAUGAACAUGAAGCUCACGUUCCCCUACGGUGAGAUGAUUGUCUAAUUUUUCUUUCUUCUGUUUCUCCCUCACAUCCAGCAUGCAUGCACUAUACACGGAGAGUACGUACCCAAUCCCGCCGUCGUCGGAGGCGAUUUCACCGGACCAGGAGUCUACACCGACACCGUCAGACUUUGUCUAUGUCAAGCUCUUCGUCUUCAAGCGUCGUGUUCUUGGUUGAAGAUGACCCAGGAGCAGCCGGAGCUCGGCAACGACCCAGCCCAACCGCUAGCCCUGGUGCUCCUACGGCGGCCUACCCGGCCCCGACGAACAGGUCACGACGCACAGAUCAUGGCGAACAGGUCUCGAUGAACAGGUCCAUGAUGUUCCAAUCACGGUGUACAGACUCCGAUGCACCGGUCCUCGGCGAACAGGUCACUGGUGCAUAGGUCCAUGGUGUCCCGAACAGGUCUCGCGCCUUGCUUCCCAGAGGAGACGACAUGGCGGAGCCGGAGCUCGCGACGACGUAGCCCGAGACAAGUCCAUGACGAACAGGUCUCUCCGGUGCACAGGUCCAUGGCGUUACGAUCACGGUGGACAGGUCCAUGGCGCCCCGGACAGGUCUCGCGCCUUGCUUCUUGGAGGGGACGAUGUGGCGGAACCGGUGCUCACGACGAUGCAGCCCGAGACUGUCCCACCUAUGAAAGUGCACCCACUAUCGCGAACAGGUCCUUGGCGUACAGGUCUCGGCGUGCUACUUGUCUCGGUAAACCACCGAAUACGGCGUUUAGUCGAGACGAGGCACCCACAAUGGCGGACAGGUCCUCUACGUAUAGGACUCGAUGUACAGGUCCAUGGCGCCCCUGGCGUAUGGGUCCCCUUUUGGUGUAGCACCCACCCAAGGCAAUGAAACCUCUACAACAUUUCUUCACGAGUUCGCCGGGUGGCACCCUUGACAAAAUGGACUGCCAUAGACUUGGCGUUCAAUCAAGUGAGACACACCUAUCACGGCGCACAGGUCAUUGGUGAACAGCUUCCGGCGUACAGGUCCAUGGCGUCGCCGGUAUACAGGUCCCCUUUCUAUGGCCAUGUGAGGUGGCAUCCUUUUCCUUGGCGGACCGCCGUAAACUCGGCGUCCAACCGAGACGAGGUGCCAACCACACCGGCAUUGCAGAUAUGAGCGAGCGUUGGUUUUACAUCGACGCUGGUCUCCAUAAAAGAUUACUCCCGUGAGGCAACCCCUUGCAUACCCGAUGAAGCCGCUACAUCGUCAAGAAGUCCGAGCUGAGCAGGACCCAUGCAACUUCAACACCAACUACAUCGACGCUGUCAAGACUGACGAGGCGCGACGGCGAGGGCGAACAUGGCCAGCACAAAGCCAUGUUUUGAGCGGCACGUGUACCGACGAGGACACGAGCUUUGCCGCCGCCCACACCAUACACUCACACCAUCAUCAUCAUGCAUGGAGAAUGCGAAGCAAAGACGACGAAGGCGACCACACGGCUUAAUCGAAGGUAUCUCGCGGAGCAACCCGCUGGAGUAAUUAACCGGGAGCUUUUUGAGGCCCCGGAAACCAGGAGACCGCACAUCGCCAUAGUCAGGCAGGCCGCGCUAGUAGGCCACGGAGCGCAACCAUUUUUUAUGGGAUCUUGUAAUU
This is a long non-coding RNA of Triticum aestivum (bread wheat), 7584 nucleotides long. RefSeq lists it as uncharacterized. The record is from RefSeq and is a predicted model, not a curated record. Lineage: Eukaryota; Viridiplantae; Streptophyta; Magnoliopsida; Poales; Poaceae. The transcript has 5 exons.